RNAcentral lists this ribosomal RNA (240 nucleotides) under uncultured bacterium. RNAcentral's name for it is "partial 16S ribosomal RNA". It matches the Rfam family "Bacterial small subunit ribosomal RNA", at positions 95 to 334 of the family's 1533-position model. The record is from RNAcentral.
CCGGCGCACGGGUGAGUAACGCGUAUGCAACUUACCUAUCAGAGGGGGAUAACCCGGCGAAAGUCGGACUAAUACCGCAUGAAGCAGGGGCCCCGCAUGGGGAUAUUUGCUAAAGAUUCAUCGCUGAUAGAUAGGCAUGCGUUCCAUUAGGCAGUUGGCGGGGUAACGGCCCACCAAACCGACGAUGGAUAGGGGUUCUGAGAGGAAGGUCCCCCACAUUGGUACUGAGACACGGACCAA